Molecule: ribosomal RNA, 403 nt
Filed under: uncultured bacterium
Lineage: Bacteria
Description: bacterial SSU rRNA
Rfam family: Bacterial small subunit ribosomal RNA
Source: RNAcentral
GACGAACGCUGGCGGCAAGCUUAACACAUGCAAGUCGAACGCCGUAGCAAUACGGAGUGGCAGACGGGUGAGUAACGCGUGGGAACGUGCCUUUCGGUUCGGAACAACUGAGGGAAACUUCAGCUAAAACCGGAUACGCCCUUCGGGGGAAAGUUUACGCCGAAAGAUCGGCCCGCGUUAGAUUAGCUAGUUGGUGGGGUAAUGGCCUACCAAGGCGACGAUCUAUAGCUGUUCUGAGAGGAAGAUCAGCCACACUGGGACUGAGACACGGCCCAGACUCCUACGGGAGGCAGCAGUGGGGAAUAUUGGACAAUGGGCGCAAGCCUGAUCCAGCUAUGCCGCGUGGAUGAAGAAGGCCUUAGGGUUGUAAAGUCCUUUCGUUGGUGAAGAUAAUGACGGUAAC